UAGGGAAUCUUCCGCAAUGGGCGAAAGCCUGACGGAGCAACGCCGCGUGAGUGAUGAAGGUCUUCGGAUCGUAAAACUCUGUUAUUAGGGAAGAACAAAUGUGUAAGUAACUAUGCACGUCUUGACGGUACCUAAUCAGAAAGCCACGGCUAACUACGUGCCAGCAGCCGCGGUAAUACGUAGGUGGCAAGCGUUAUCCGGAAUUAUUGGGCGUAAGGUGCGCGUAGGCGGUUUUUUAAGUCUGAUGUGAAAGCCCACGGCUCAACCGUGGAGGGUCAUUUGAAACUGGAAAACUUGAGUGCAGAAGAGGAAAGUGGAAUUCCAUGUGUAGCGGUGAAAUGCGCAGAGAUAUGGAGGAACACCAGUGGCGAAGGCGACUUUCUUGUCUGUAACUGACGCUGAUGUGCGAAAGCGUGGGGAUCAAACAGG
RNAcentral lists this ribosomal RNA (429 nucleotides) under Actinomycetes bacterium. RNAcentral's name for it is "Actinobacteria bacterium partial 16S ribosomal RNA". It matches the Rfam family "Bacterial small subunit ribosomal RNA", at positions 355 to 776 of the family's 1533-position model. Lineage: Bacteria; Bacillati; Actinomycetota; Actinomycetes. The record is from RNAcentral.